Molecule: ribosomal RNA, 601 nt
Filed under: Phyllosticta capitalensis
Lineage: Eukaryota; Fungi; Ascomycota; Dothideomycetes; Botryosphaeriales; Phyllostictaceae
Description: eukaryotic LSU rRNA
Rfam family: 5.8S ribosomal RNA (bases 245-398)
Source: RNAcentral
AGGGACGCCCUUAAUGAGAGCGUAGAACUUCCAUUGAAGGUAGCCUGAGUAGGCUCUACAACGCCGAAAUGACCUUCUCACCCUUGUGUACUGACUAUGUUGCUUUGGCGGGUCGACGUGGUUCCGACCCAGGCGGCCGGCGCCCCCAGCCUUAACUGGCCAGGACGCCCGGCUAAGUGCCCGCCAGUAUACAAAACUCAAGAAUUCAUUUUGUGAAGUCCUGAUAUAUCAUUUAAUUGAUUAAAACUUUCAACAACGGAUCUCUUGGUUCUGGCAUCGAUGAAGAACGCAUUGAAAUGCGAUAAGUAAUGUGAAUUGCAGAAUUCAGUGAAUCAUCGAAUCUUUGAACGCACAUUGCGCCCUCUGGUAUUCCGGAGGGCAUGCCUGUUCGAGCGUCAUUUCAACCCUCAAGCUCUGCUUGGUAUUGGGCAACGUCCGCUGCCGNACGUGCCUUGAAGGACUCGGCGACGGCGUCCUAGCCUCGAGCGUAGUAUUAAAAUAUCUCGCNUUGGAGCGCUGGGCNACGCCCGCGGACAAUCGACCUUCGGUCUAUUUUUCAAGGUUGACCUCGGAUCAGGUAGGGAUACCCGCUGAACUAAGC